GGGGGUAGAGCACUGUUUCGGCUAGGGGGCCAUCCCGGCUUACCAACCCGAUGCAAACUCCGAAUACUGACAAGUUNGAGCAUGGGAGACACACGGCGGGUGCUAACGUUCGUCGUGAAGAGGGAAACAACCCAGACCGCCAGCUAAGGUCCCCAAGUCAUGGUUAAGUGGGNAACNAUGUGGGAAGGCNUAGACAGCCAGGAUGUUGGCUUAGAAGCAGCCAUCAUUUAAAGAAAGCGUAAUAGCUCACUNGUCGAGUCGGCCUGCGCGGAAGAUGUAACGGGGCUAAAACUAUGCACCGAAGCUGCGGCAGUAUGUGAAAGCAUAUUGGGUAGGGGAGCGUUCUGUAAGCCUGUGAAGGUAUCCUGAGAGGGGUGCUGGAGGUAUCAGAAGUGCGAAUGCUGACAUAAGUAACGAUAAAGCGGGUGAAAAGCCCGCUCGCCGGAAGACCAAAGGGUUCCNGGUCCAACGUUAAUCGGGGCAGGGUGAGUCGACCCCUAAGGCGAGGCNGANAUGCGUAGCUGAUGGGAAACGGGUUAAUAUUCCCGUACUAGAUAUAACUGCGAUGGGGUGACGGAGAAGGCUAGGUUUACCAUAUAUUGGAUAAUGGGUUAAGCGUGUAGGGGUGUGAUUAGGCAAAUCCGGUCACUGAGACGCUGAGGUGUGAUGACGAGUCACUAAGGUGGCGGAGUAAUUGAUGCCAUGCUUCCAGGAAAAACCUCUAAGCAUCAGGUUAUAUGUAAUCGUACCCGAAACCGACACAGGUGGUCAGGUAGAGAAUACUAAGGCGCUUGAGAGAACUCGGGUGAAGGAACUAGGCAAAAUGGUGCCGUAACUUCGGGAGAAGGCACGCUGAUGGUAAUUGAAGUCCCGCGCGGAUGNAGGUGAAAUCAGUCGAAGAUACCAGCUGGCUGCAACUGUUUAAUAAAAACACAGCACUGUGCAAACACGAAAGUGGACGUAUACGGUGUGACGCCUGCCCGGUGCUGGAAGGUUAAUUGAUGGGGUUAUGCGCAAGCAGAAGCUCUUGAUCGAAGCCCCAGUAAACGGCGGCCGUAACAAUAACGGUCCUAAGGUAGCGAAAUUCCUUGUCGGGUAAGUUCCGACCUGCACGAAUGGCGUAAUGAUGGCCAGGCUGUCUCCACCCGAGACUCAGUGAAAUUGAAAUUGCCGUGAAGAUGCGGUGUACCCGUGGCAAGACGGAAAGACCCCGUNAANCUUUACUAUAGCUUGACAGUGAACAUUGAGCCUUAAUGUGUAGGAUAGGUGGGAGACUGAGAAGUGUGUACGCCAGUAUGCAUGGAGUCGACCUUGAAAUACCACCCUUUAAUGUUUGAUGUUCUAACCUAUGCUUCUGAAUCGAGGCAAGGGACACUGUCUGGUGGGUAGUUUGACUGGGGCGGUCUCCUCCCAAAGAGUAACGGAGGAGCACGAAGGUUAGCUAAUCCUGGUCGGACAUCAGGAGGUUAGUGCAAUGGCAAAAGCUAGCUUGACUGCGAGAGUGACGGCUCGAGCAGGUACGAAAGUAGGUCAUAGUGAUCCGGUGGUUCUGAAUGGAAGGGCCAUCNCUCAACACGGAUAAAAGNNNCUNCGGGGAUAACAGGCUGAUACCGCCCAAGAGUUCAUAUCGACGGCGGUGUUUGGCACCUCGAUGUCGGCUCAUCNCAUCCUGGGGCUGAAGUAGGUCCCAAGGGUACGGCUGUUCGCCGUUUAAAGUGGUACGCGAGCUGGGUUUAGAACGUCGUGAGACAGUUCGGUCCCUAUCUGCCAUGGGCGUAGGAAAAUUGAGAGGGUUUGCUUCUAGUACGAGAGGACCGAAGUGAACGCACCGCUGGUGUUCGGGUUGUGAUGCCGAUUGCAUUGCCCGGUAGCUACGUGCGGAAUAGAUAAGUGCUGAAAGCAUCUAAGUACGAAACUAGCCUCGAGAUGAGUUUUCCCUGAUGAGAAUCAGUAAGGUCCGUUUGAGACUAAGACGUAGAUAGGUCAGGUGUGUAAGUGUAGUGAUACAUUGAGCUAACUGAUACUAAUGAGCCGAGAGGUGGAGGU
Molecule: ribosomal RNA, 2046 nt
Filed under: insect metagenome
Description: bacterial LSU rRNA
Rfam family: Bacterial large subunit ribosomal RNA
Source: RNAcentral